RNAcentral lists this ribosomal RNA (253 nucleotides) under uncultured bacterium. RNAcentral's name for it is "partial 16S ribosomal RNA". It matches the Rfam family "Bacterial small subunit ribosomal RNA", at positions 524 to 776 of the family's 1533-position model. The record is from RNAcentral.
UACAGAGGUCUCAAGCGUUGUUCGGAAUUACUGGGCGUAAAGCGCGCGUAGGCGGCUUUGUAAGUUAGAGGUGAAAGCCCGGAGCUCAACUCCGGAACUGCCUUUAAGACUGCAUCGCUAGAAUCAUGGAGAGGUGAGUGGAAUUCCGAGUGUAGAGGUGAAAUUCGUAGAUAUUCGGAAGAACACCAGUGGCGAAGGCGACUCACUGGACAUGUAUUGACGCUGAGGUGCGAAAGCGUGGGGAGCAAACAGG